GAAAUUAAUUUUUAAAAAAGUGACUUUAACAUACAUGUAAAAAAAAACUUACUGCAUUUUCCAGCCAACUAACCUACCGAUAGCACUGAACAUAAUAUCCAAAAGAGAGUUAAGCCUUUGGUGAGUGAGUUUAAUAUCUCAGAAGUUUAAGAACUACGACGUCGAUAAAGAUCAUGGAAGUCAAUUCUGUCAGGUUCCAUUGUCAACGAUUAUCGGCUAAUCAGCAGUCGAUAUUACUCUCAUCUUUCAAACAUUAAUCGAAAGGCCGUCGAUAAAAGAAACCAUGGAGGAAUGAAGACACCAAGGACAAACUCAUUGGAAGAAAAAGACCUACAGCACAUGAGGUCUGGCACCCUUAGGAGAGCGUUUCUCUAGUGAGAAGAUGUAGACGUUAA
This is a long non-coding RNA of Acanthaster planci (crown-of-thorns starfish), 395 nucleotides long. Lineage: Eukaryota; Metazoa; Echinodermata; Asteroidea; Valvatida; Acanthasteridae. The record is from RefSeq and is a predicted model, not a curated record.